UUGGUAGCGCUGCCAUGCUGGCGUCUUUUCUAAUGCGCACAUGCUCUAAAAGUGAAACGAAAUUGAGAAGUAAUCUACUGUCACAAGCCUUGGAGACUCAAAUGACGGUGGCUUCUCUUGAGCAUCUGCAGUGAAGAAACCCGGGAACUUUGUUUAACACAGUGUGUUUUGAUAAACCAAUUUUCAUUUCUUCCCCCCCCCCACUCCCAUUGGCUAUGAAAAUCCAGUGGAAGGAGAACCCUGUGGGAAAUGCAAGUGUUGGCUUGGGACGGAAAAUGACACAGUCAGGCUGCCUUUCAGGAAGGGAAAACUCUGGUGACACUCUGACCGGUAGACCAAGGAGGGAGGGCUUGCUGCCACCCUUUGAGCAAGUGGAGACCCGGCUGGGACAGGACAAUUCAAAUGCAGGAAGUAAAGAAAAUGUAGAAGGCAAAAGAAGAAAUGUGUAUGGAAAGGAAACUGCCAGGAAGCUGCUAAAACUCAUCUUAUGCACGUGUGUGUGUGUGUGUGUGUGUGUGUGUACACAAUGCUAACACAAUGAAAGUCAUCUGACACCACUUUGUAACAGACACUCCAGAAACUUCAAGAUUCAAACGGACCAGGAAGACAAAGCAGUCAAAACCUCGUAUUUUGCAACACGGAGCAAGAAAGUCAUAAAGGUUCCAUCACCGGCCCCCGGGUUGCACGGUUCCUCAGCAGGUAGUGGCGCUGGGAAGUACCACCUGCUCCACCUGCUUCACCUGCUGCUCUUCCCUCUCAUGAACGCGAGGG
Long non-coding RNA from Meriones unguiculatus (Mongolian gerbil), 771 nucleotides. RefSeq lists it as uncharacterized. The transcript is spliced from 2 exons. The record is from RefSeq and is a predicted model, not a curated record. Lineage: Eukaryota; Metazoa; Chordata; Mammalia; Rodentia; Muridae.